RNAcentral lists this ribosomal RNA (404 nucleotides) under uncultured bacterium. RNAcentral describes it as "partial 16S ribosomal RNA". It matches the Rfam family "Bacterial small subunit ribosomal RNA", at positions 28 to 526 of the family's 1533-position model. The record is from RNAcentral.
GAUGAACGCUGACAGAAUGCUUAACACAUGCAAGUCAACUGUGGCGGACGUGUGAGUAACGCGUAAAGAACUUGCCUCACAGAUAGGGACAACAUUUGGAAACGAAUGCUAAUACCUGAUACUGUGAGGGAGCUUUGCGUCCCAUUAGCCAGUUGGAGAGGUAACGGCUCACCAAGGCGAUGAUGGGUAGCCGGCCUGAGAGGGUGAUCGGCCACAAGGGGACUGAGACACGGCCCUUACUCCUUCGGGAGGCAGCAGUGGGGAAUAUUGGACAUUAGGCCAAAGUCUGAUCCAGCAAUUCGGUGUGCACAGUAAAGUUUUCGGGAGGAAGAGUGCUUUCAGUUGGGAAGCGGUACCAACAGAAGAAGUGACGGCUAAAUACGUGCCAGCAGCCGCGGUAAUUC